RNAcentral lists this ribosomal RNA (568 nucleotides) under uncultured archaeon. RNAcentral's name for it is "bacterial SSU rRNA". It matches the Rfam family "Archaeal small subunit ribosomal RNA", at positions 574 to 1140 of the family's 1478-position model. The record is from RNAcentral.
GCUAGGGACACUGCCGAGCUAGAGGGUGGGCGAGGUCAGCGGUAUUCCUGGGGUAGGGGCGAAAUCCAUUGAUCCCAGGAGGACCACCAGUGGCGAAGGCUGCUGACCAGAACACGCCUGACGGUCAGGGACGAAAGCUGGGGUAGCGAAUCGGAUUAGAUACCCGAGUAGUCCCAGCCGUAAACGAUGCAGGCUAGGUGUUGGGAUGGCCACGUGCCGCCCCAGUGCCACAGGGAAGCCAUUAAGCCUGCCGCCUGGGGAGUACGGCCGCAAGGCUGAAACUUAAAGGAAUUGGCGGGGGAGCACCACCAGGCGUGAAGCCUGCGGUUUAAUUGGAGUCAACGCCGGGAACCUUACCGGGAGCGACAGCAGGGUGAAGGCCAGGCUGAAGGUCUUGCCGGACGAGCUGAGAGGAGGUGCAUGGCCGUCGCCAGUUCGUGCCGUGAGGUGUCCUCUUAAGUGAGGUAACGAACGAGACCCGCGCCCCAUGUUGCCAGCAAAUCCUAAAGGGAUGUUGGGCACUCUUGGGGGACCGCAGCCGAUAAGACUGAGGAAGGUGCGGGCAACG